This 435-nucleotide ribosomal RNA is filed under the name uncultured bacterium. RNAcentral's name for it is "partial 16S ribosomal RNA". It matches the Rfam family "Bacterial small subunit ribosomal RNA", at positions 29 to 507 of the family's 1533-position model. The record is from RNAcentral.
AACGAACGCUGGCGGCAGGCUUAACACAUGCAAGUCGAACGCGUGCAGCAAUGCACGAGUGGCGCACGGGUGAGUAACGAGUGGAUAUCUGCCUUUUGGUUCGGAAUAACCCCGGGAAACUGGGGCUAAUACCGGAUGGUUCCUACGGGAUAAAGAUUUAUCGCCAAAAGAUGAGUCCGCGUCCGAUUAGCUAGUUGGUGAGGUAAUGGCUCGCCAAGGCGACGAUCGGUAGCUGGUCUGAGAGGACGAUCAGCCACACUGGGACUGAGACACGGCCCAGACUCCUACGGGAGGCAGCAGUGGGGAAUAUUGGACAAUGGGGGCAACCCUGAUCCAGCCAUGCCGCGUGAAUGAUGAAGGCCUUCGGGUUGUAAAGCUCUUUUGGCGGGGACGAUGAUGACGGUACCCGCAGAAUAAGCCCCGGCUAACUUCGUG